RNAcentral lists this unclassified non-coding RNA (200 nucleotides) under uncultured Cortinarius. RNAcentral describes it as "sequence contains ITS2". Lineage: Eukaryota; Fungi; Basidiomycota; Agaricomycetes; Agaricales; Cortinariaceae. The record is from RNAcentral.
UUAAGUUCAGCGGGUAGUCCUACCUGAUUUGAGGUCACAUUAAUGAAAAAUUGUCCAGUUCAAUGGACUGUUAGAAGCCAAACUGCUUCACGUCAAUAGCGUAGAUAGUUAUCACACCAAUGAACGGUCAACAAAUUGUUCAGCUAAUGCAUUUCAGGGGAGCUGACCUCAGAAGAGAUGCCAGCAAGCCCCCACAUCCA